GACCUAUUAAGCACAAAGAAACUAGCACUAGAUGAUUUGGAAAAUUCUCAGCCUUUUCAGACAGUGUGUUCUGAGACUAGGACCAGAAACGGCUCUAACAAGGCCUUCCCUGAGCUCCCGGGAGAUAAGUCCUCAGAGAACUGGGCUUUGCCUCAGGGUAACUAAAUAAUUCUUUGCUAAACAGAGUGUGGCUGAACAUGGAUCCAGUCCACCAUCUCAAAAGAAGUCGGGAUUGGAAAUGCAUUUUUCUAGAAAGGAUCCAUGGAAAAUCCUUUUGUUUGACAAUUUAGACCACCUUGAACUGGAC
Molecule: small RNA, 307 nt
Filed under: Dasypus novemcinctus (nine-banded armadillo)
Lineage: Eukaryota; Metazoa; Chordata; Mammalia; Cingulata; Dasypodidae
Description: Nuclear RNase P (ENSDNOG00000040099.1)
Rfam family: Nuclear RNase P
About the family: Ribonuclease P (RNase P) is a ubiquitous endoribonuclease, found in archaea, bacteria and eukarya as well as chloroplasts and mitochondria. Its best characterised activity is the generation of mature 5'-ends of tRNAs by cleaving the 5'-leader elements of precursor-tRNAs.
Source: RNAcentral